UACAGAGGUCCCGAGCGUUAGGCGGAAUCACUGGGCUUAAAGCGUGUGUAGGUGGAUCGGUAAGUACCUUGUGAAAUCCCACAGCUUAACUGUGGAACUGCUUGGUAUACUGCCAGUCUUGAGCCAGCUAGGGGCUACCGGAACAAAUGGUGGAGCGGUGAAAUGCGUAGAUAUCAUUUGGAACGCCAAUGGUGAAAACAGGUUGCUGGGAGUGUGCUGACGCUGAGACACGAAAGCCAGGGGAGCGAACGGG
This 253-nucleotide ribosomal RNA is filed under the name uncultured bacterium. Its description in RNAcentral is "partial 16S ribosomal RNA". It matches the Rfam family "Bacterial small subunit ribosomal RNA", at positions 524 to 776 of the family's 1533-position model. The record is from RNAcentral.